RNAcentral lists this ribosomal RNA (399 nucleotides) under uncultured bacterium. RNAcentral describes it as "partial 16S ribosomal RNA". It matches the Rfam family "Bacterial small subunit ribosomal RNA", at positions 360 to 776 of the family's 1533-position model. The record is from RNAcentral.
AAUAUUGCGCAAUUGGGGAAACCCUGACGCAGCAACGCCGCGUGAAGGAAGAAGGUCUUCGGAUCGUAAACUUUUGUCUUUGGGGACGAUAAUGACGGUACCCAAGGAGGAAGCCACGGCUAACUACGUGCCAGCAGCCGCGGUAAUACGUAGGUGGCGAGCGUUGUCCGGAUUUACUGGGUGUAAAGGGCGUGUAGGCGGGAUAGCAAGUCAGGUGUGAAAUACCAAGGCUCAACCUUGGGGCUGCACUUGCAACUGUUAUUCUUGAGUGUCGGAGAGGGAAGCGGAAUUCCUAGUGUAGCGGUGAAAUGCGUAGAUAUUAGGAGGAACACCAGUGGCGAAGGCGGCUUUCUGGACGAUAACUGACGCUGAGGCGCGAAAGCGUGGGGAGCAAACAGG